ACUGCUCAGUAACACGUGGAUAACCUGCCCAAGGGUCUGGGAUAACCCCGGGAAACUGGGGAUAAUACCGGAUGGAUCACUAGUGCUGGAAUGCUUGGUGGUCGAAAGGUAACGCCUUUGGAUGGGUCUGCGGCGGAUUAGGUUGACGCCGGUGUAACGUACCGGCGUGCCUGUAAUCCGUACGGGUUGUGGGAGCAAGAGCCCGGAGAUGGAUUCUGAGACACGAAUCCAGGCCCUACGGGGCGCAGCAGGCGCGAAAACUCUACAAUGCAGGCAACUGCGAUAGGGGGACAUCGAGUGGCAUCCACCUUGGGUGCCUGUCCAACCGUCUAAAAAACGGUUGUUAGCAAGGGCCGGGUAAGACCGGUGCCAGCCGCCGCGGUAAUACCGGCGGCUCGAGUGGUGGCCGAUAUUAUUGAGUCUAAAGGGUCCGUAGCCGGCUUUGCAAGUCCCCUGGGAAAUCCAGCGGCUUAACCGUUGGGCUUUCAUGGGAUACUACAUUGCUUGGGACUGGGAGAGGUAGGAGGUACUCGGGGGGUAGGGGUGAAAUCCUGUAAUCCUCCGGGGACCACCGGUGGCGAAGGCGUCCUACCAGAACAGGUCCGACGGUGAGGGACGAAAGCUAGGGGCACGAACCGGAUUAGAUACCCGGGUAGUCCUAGCCGUAAACGAUGCCCGCUAGGUGUCACGACGGUCGUGAAUCGUCGUGGUGCCGUAGGGAAGCCGCGAAGCGGGCCACUUGGGAAGUACGGCCGCAAGGCUGAAACUUAAAGGAAUUGGCGGGGGAG
RNAcentral lists this ribosomal RNA (788 nucleotides) under uncultured archaeon. RNAcentral's name for it is "bacterial SSU rRNA". It matches the Rfam family "Archaeal small subunit ribosomal RNA", at positions 85 to 876 of the family's 1478-position model. The record is from RNAcentral.